This is a non-coding RNA of Pelodiscus sinensis (Chinese soft-shelled turtle), 696 nucleotides long. Lineage: Eukaryota; Metazoa; Chordata; Testudines; Trionychidae. The record is from RefSeq and is a predicted model, not a curated record.
GCUGCUCGCUGGCAUCCCUAGCCUGGAAGCCGCACGCUGGCAGCCGGGAGGGGCAAGGAGGCCUGUGAAUAGGAUUGAGGGUUCUAGGGGCAGCAUGGCCCUUCCUGCCGCUUGUCUCAAGUGAUCACAGCCAGGAUGCUCUUCCUACAGGGUAGGUGGCCCCUCCUGCUGCCACCUGUGCUCCUGCAGCUCCGCUCCUGUCCUUAGCAUGCUGGCUCAGGCAGGGCCCAUGCCCCCAGCGCCACCCGCGGACGUGACCUACAGACCAAGCCCCCCAGAGCUCCUAGCCAGCUGCCAGUGCGGCCCCCCUCUGGCUAAAGUGUAGGCUCUCUCCCUGGGCUUCUGCCUGCCCUGUCCUGUCCCCUCCCCUAGUGCCUGUGCUGUGGCCUCCUCCCCCUCCAGGUGGAUUCACGGAAGCAACCAAAAAGAAGAUCCUGGACACGCUGGGCUUCAGGAACAUCCACCUCGAGGAAAGCACGUGUGAAGGAAAUGGAGCGUUUCCAGGCUCUGAAAUCUACCGCAUGGUGGAGCAAAUCAACGGCCAGUUGAAAGAGAGCGUGGGGAAAGUCCUGGACGAGGAGAGCGCCAUCAAGGGGUGGUUCAGCCAGUACCACCGGAAGCACCGGUUCGGGAACCCGCGCAACCUGGAGACCUUGGGCAGCAAGGUGUUGAAGUACGUGAGGCUCCCGUGGCCCG